UAGCUCAGUGGUAAAGAAUCUGCUUGCAAUGCAGGAAACAGGAGAUGCAGGUUCAACUCCUGC
This 63-nucleotide transfer RNA is filed under the name Ovis aries (sheep). The record is from Rfam by way of RNAcentral. Lineage: Eukaryota; Metazoa; Chordata; Mammalia; Artiodactyla; Bovidae.